RNAcentral lists this ribosomal RNA (249 nucleotides) under uncultured bacterium. RNAcentral's name for it is "partial 16S ribosomal RNA". It matches the Rfam family "Bacterial small subunit ribosomal RNA", at positions 796 to 1041 of the family's 1533-position model. The record is from RNAcentral.
CACGCUGUAAACGAUGAAUACUAGGUGUGGGGGGACUGACCCCCUCCGUGCCGGAGUUAACACAAUAAGUAUUCCACCUGGGGAGUACGGCCGCAAGGUUGAAACUCAAAGGAAUUGACGGGGGCCCGCACAAGCAGUGGAUUAUGUGGUUUAAUUCGAAGCAACGCGAAGAACCUUACCAGGGUUUGACAUCCAACUAACGAAGCAGAGAUGCAUUAGGUGCCCUUCGGGGAAAGUUGAGACAGGUGG